AGAGUUUGAUCCUGGCUCAGGAUGAACGCCGGCGGUGUGCCUAAUACAUGCAAGUCGUACGCACUGGCCCAACUGAUUGAUGGUGCUUGCACCUGAUUGACGAUGGAUCACCAGUGAGUGGCGGACGGGUGAGUAACACGUAGGUAACCUGCCCCGGAGCGGGGGAUAACAUUUGGAAACAGAUGCUAAUACCGCAUAACAACAAAAGCCGCGUGGUUUUUGUUUGAAAGAUGGCCUUGGCUAUCACUCUGGGAUGGACCUGCGGUGCAUUAGCUAGUUGGUAAGGUAACGGCUUACCAAGGCGAUGAUGCAUAGCCGAGUUGAGAGACUGAUCGGCCACAAUGGAACUGAGACACGGUCCAUACUCCUACGGGAGGCAGCAGUAGGGAAUCUUCCACAAUGGGCGCAAGCCUGAUGGAGCAACACCGCGUGAGUGAAGAAGGGUUUCGGCUCGUAAAGCUCUGUUGUUGGAGAAGAACGUGCGUGAGAGUAACUGUUCACGCAGUGACGGUAUCCAACCAGAAAGUCACGGCUAACUACGUGCCAGCAGCCGCGGUAAUACGUAGGUGGCAAGCGUUAUCCGGAUUUAUUGGGCGUAAAGCGAGCGCAGGCGGUUGCUUAGGUCUGAUGUGAAAGCCUUCGGCUUAACCG
RNAcentral lists this ribosomal RNA (651 nucleotides) under uncultured bacterium. RNAcentral describes it as "bacterial SSU rRNA". It matches the Rfam family "Bacterial small subunit ribosomal RNA", at positions 8 to 615 of the family's 1533-position model. The record is from RNAcentral.